UCGAACGGUAACAGGGAGCUUGCUCCGCUGACGAGUGGCGAACGGGUGAGUAAUACAUCGGAACGUGUCCUGUAGUGGGGGAUAGCCCGGCGAAAGCCGGAUUAAUACCGCAUACGCUGUACGCAGGAAAGGGGGGGAUCGCAAGACCUCUCGCUAUAGGGGCGGCCGAUGGCAGAUUAGCUAGUUGGUGGGGUAAAGGCCUACCAAGGCGACGAUCUGUAGCUGGUCUGAGAGGACGACCAGCCACACUGGGACUGAGACACGGCCCAGACUCCUACGGGAGGCAGCAGUGGGGAAUUUUGGACAAUGGGCGAAAGCCUGAUCCAGCAAUGCCGCGUGUGUGAAGAAGGCCUUCGGGUUGUAAAGCACUUUUGUUCGGGAAGAAAAGGUCUGGACUAAUAAUCUGGGCUGAUGACGGUACCGGAAGAAUAAGCACCGGCUAACUACGUGCCAG
Molecule: ribosomal RNA, 454 nt
Filed under: Burkholderia sp. 68-F98
Lineage: Bacteria; Pseudomonadati; Pseudomonadota; Betaproteobacteria; Burkholderiales; Burkholderiaceae
Description: bacterial SSU rRNA
Rfam family: Bacterial small subunit ribosomal RNA
Source: RNAcentral